Molecule: transfer RNA, 76 nt
Filed under: Cupriavidus gilardii CR3
Lineage: Bacteria; Pseudomonadati; Pseudomonadota; Betaproteobacteria; Burkholderiales; Burkholderiaceae
Description: tRNA-Lys
Rfam family: tRNA
About the family: Transfer RNA (tRNA) molecules are approximately 80 nucleotides in length. Their secondary structure includes four short double-helical elements and three loops (D, anti-codon, and T loops).
Source: RNAcentral
UGGGCGUUAGCUCAGUUGGUAGAGCAGCGGACUCUUAAUCCGUAGGUCGAGUGUUCGAGUCACUCACGCCCCACCA